AGUAAACGGCGGCCGUAACUAUAACGGUCCUAAGGUAGCGAAAUUCCUUGUCGGGUAAGUUCCGACCCGCACGAAAGGCGUAACGAUUUGGGCACUGUCUCAACGAGAGACUCGGUGAAAUCAUAGUACCUGUGAAGAUGCAGGUUACCCGCGACAGGACGGAAAGACCCCGUGGAGCUUUACUGUAGCCUGAUAUUGAAAUUCGGCACAGCUUGUACAGGAUAGGUAGGAGCCUUUGAAACGUGAGCGCUAGCUUACGUGGAGGCGCUGGUGGGAUACUACCCUAGCUGUGUUGGCUUUCUAACCCGCACCACUUAUCGUGGUGGGAGACAGUGUCAGGCGGGCAGUUUGACUGGGGCGGUCGCCUCCUAAAAGGUAACGGAGGCGCUCAAAGGUUCCCUCAGAAUGGUUGGAAAUCAUUCAUAGAGUGUAAAGGCAUAAGGGAGCUUGACUGCGAGACCUACAAGUCGAGCAGGGUCGAAAGACGGACUUAGUGAUCCGGUGGUUCCGCAUGGAAGGGCCAUCGCUCAACGGAUAAAAGCUACCCCGGGGAUAACAGGCUUAUCUCCCCCAAGAGUUCACAUCGACGGGGAGGUUUGGCACCUCGAUGUCGGCUCAUCGCAUCCUGGGGCUGUAGUCGGUCCCAAGGGUUGGGCUGUUCGCCCAUUAAAGCGGUACGCGAGCUGGGUUCAGAACGUCGUGAGACAGUUCGGUCCCUAUCCGUCGUGGGCGUAGGAAAUUUGAGAGGAGCUGUCCUUAGUACGAGAGGACCGGGAUGGACAUACCUCUGGUGUACCAGUUGUCGUGCCAACGGCAUAGCUGGGUAGCUAUGUGUGGACGGGAUAAGUGCUGAAAGCAUCUAAGCAUGAAGCCCCCCUCAAGAUGAG
RNAcentral lists this ribosomal RNA (887 nucleotides) under Staphylococcus aureus. RNAcentral describes it as "partial 23S ribosomal RNA". It matches the Rfam family "Bacterial large subunit ribosomal RNA", at positions 1922 to 2808 of the family's 2925-position model. The record is from RNAcentral. Lineage: Bacteria; Bacillati; Bacillota; Bacilli; Caryophanales; Staphylococcaceae.